This is a small nuclear RNA of Delphinapterus leucas (beluga whale), 98 nucleotides long. The record is from Ensembl. NCBI's taxonomy places the organism in Eukaryota, Metazoa, Chordata, Mammalia, Artiodactyla, Monodontidae.
GUGUUCCCUUUGGCAACACAUACACUGGAAUGAUACAGAGGUUAGCAUGGCCCCUGUGCAAGGAUGAUAUGCAAAGUCAUGAAGCAAUCCAUAUUUUC